GAUGAACGCUGGCGGCGUGCCUAAUACAUGCAAGUCGAACGCACAGCGAAAGGUGCUUGCACCUUUCAAGUGAGUGGCGAACGGGUGAGUAACACGUGGACAACCUGCCUCAAGGCUGGGGAUAACAUUUGGAAACAGAUGCUAAUACCGAAUAAAACUCAGUGUCGCAUGACACAAAGUUAAAAGGCGCUUUGGCGUCACCUAGAGAUGGAUCCGCGGUGCAUUAGUUAGUUGGUGGGGUAAAGGCCUACCAAGACAAUGAUGCAUAGCCGAGUUGAGAGACUGAUCGGCCAACUUGGGACUGAGACACGGCCCAAACUCCUACGGGAGGCUGCAGUAGGGAAUCUUCCACAAUGGGCGAAAGCCUGAGGGAGCAACGCCGCGUGUGUGAUGAAGGCUUUCGGGUCGUAAAGCACUGUUGUAUGGGAAGAACAGCUAGAAUAGGGAAUGAUUUUAGUUUGACGGUACCAUACCAGAAAGGGACGGCUAAAUACGUGCCAGCCGCCGCCGUAA
RNAcentral lists this ribosomal RNA (513 nucleotides) under uncultured bacterium. Its description in RNAcentral is "partial 16S ribosomal RNA". It matches the Rfam family "Bacterial small subunit ribosomal RNA", at positions 28 to 523 of the family's 1533-position model. The record is from RNAcentral.